UCACACAUAUUGUGGUGUAGUGUCACCGAA
This 30-nucleotide non-coding RNA is filed under the name Homo sapiens (human). The record is from RNAcentral. Lineage: Eukaryota; Metazoa; Chordata; Mammalia; Primates; Hominidae.